Chelonoidis abingdonii (Abingdon island giant tortoise) is the source of this 1124-nucleotide long non-coding RNA. RefSeq lists it as uncharacterized. Lineage: Eukaryota; Metazoa; Chordata; Testudines; Testudinidae. The record is from RefSeq and is a predicted model, not a curated record.
CGAGAUGCUUCCUCCUCAGUCUGUGUGGGGAAAAGUCAGAUUUCAGCGGGGGAGGGAGAUUGAGUUGAUUUGCAGUUUAAAAUUCAGAUCUGAGAAAGAUGAGACAAAGUGGAUCAGGCAGAAGAGUCUGGAGCAACUGUUACCACUGCUGUUCCUGGAGAGAGACUAUCACUGUGCAGUGUUGAGCCUUCACUCACCUGAAAUUUAUAAUACUGCUUCAGUCUGUCUGAAGAGUCUGGCAAAUAGCUUUUGCUGAUGAUUAUACUUAAAAUCUAAACUGCUUUCCUUUCUGAUUUUUUCUAAGCAGGACAUGACCUAUCAGUGUUGUACUGAGAGGAACAUGGUUUCUGGCACAUUUUGAGGCAUAAAACAAUUUAAAAUAACAUCUCCACCUAGUGGCCAACCAAUAAAGCACAAUUGUACUAAUUUCUGGCCUGAUUUAAUUUCAAACUAGUUCUUAGAAAAAGAUGAUAUAAACUAAUGCAUAUCUAAAAUACAUGCCAAAUUAGGGGCUCCCUUUUGUACAUCUGGAUUAUCAAAACUACAUAAAGACAGUAACGUUUACCCCUUUAAGAUAAAAAGUCCUUAUUUGAGUAGGUUAGUGGUAUUUGAACACAAUCUAAAGAAAUAAUGGAAAAAAUGGGAACAGCAUUUUUUCCAUCAAUACAAUAACACAUGCUUAAUAACAAAGAAAUACAACAGCUAGUACUAAUAUUAUAGUUUUCUUUCAUCAUACCUACCUUAUUAAAGUUUAAGGCCCAUCAGCCCCAUUUUUUCACAUAGGGAAAAUACAGUGCACAGAGAGGUUAACAGCUAGGUCCAGAAAGGUGACUUAGACUCAGCAGUGCAAUCCCUAAAAUGUAGGCAUCCUGGGGUGCAGUGGAAUCUACAGACCCAAGUUACGUCCCAAAGAACAGGAUUCACACAAGCCAGCAUGCUGAACAGGAAGCUGCCUAAAGCAGGCAAUAGAAAAUGUUGGAAAGGGGUGUGCUCUUAAGUUUUGGCCCUUAAAGGGAAUUGGGCACAUAACUAGACUGCAGGGAGAUAUUUCCCUCCACUCUGCAUUCAUAGGCCUGAACCCACCCCUGGAGUUAGGCCAGAUCCAGCUUAGGUGCCUUUCUCAC